GCUGCGGUAGCUCAACUGGCAGAGCAGCGGAUUUGUAAUCCGCAGGUUGUGAGUUCGACUCUCACCCGCAGCU
Molecule: transfer RNA, 73 nt
Filed under: Thiotrichales bacterium SG8_50
Lineage: Bacteria; Pseudomonadati; Pseudomonadota; Gammaproteobacteria; Thiotrichales
Description: tRNA-Thr
Rfam family: tRNA
About the family: Transfer RNA (tRNA) molecules are approximately 80 nucleotides in length. Their secondary structure includes four short double-helical elements and three loops (D, anti-codon, and T loops). Further hydrogen bonds mediate the characteristic L-shaped molecular structure. tRNAs have two regions of fundamental functional importance: the anti-codon, which is responsible for specific mRNA codon recognition, and the 3' end, to which the tRNAs corresponding amino acid is attached (by aminoacyl-tRNA synthetases). tRNAs cope with the degeneracy of the genetic code in two manners: having more than one tRNA (with a specific anti-codon) for a particular amino acid; and 'wobble' base-pairing, i.e. permitting non-standard base-pairing at the 3rd anti-codon position.
Source: RNAcentral